Molecule: long non-coding RNA, 1901 nt
Organism: Formica exsecta
Lineage: Eukaryota; Metazoa; Arthropoda; Insecta; Hymenoptera; Formicidae
Exons: 3
Source: RefSeq, a predicted model, not a curated record
CGAUAAAGGAACAUCAGCAAGAGAGCUACCACUCCACAGCUCCCGUACAGAGCCAGGCGGCCGCCUCGGCCUCUGCCAAGUCGCGAACCGCUCAUUCCUAUUGACAGACACCGUGUCGUCAAGAAGCAAAAUUGGAUAAUGGAAUUUUCGAAUACCAAAACGGAAAUCAUCAAUCGUCAGAAACAAAAUCAGCACGAGGAGAGGAAAAGCGGGGAGAAGAUGCAGCGGGGUAGUUAGCUACUUAGCAGCUGGAUUCGAGUUCACUGACAUUUCGGAGCACGCGCGAUGCGAGUCUUGUUUCGUUUACGGCGACGACGACGGAGACGACAAACGGCGAUGCACGUGUACCGUACGCGCGGAAACGUGACGCCCGCUCGAAAGCCGAUUCUGCCCGGCUCUCUGCAUGCCUCUGGUUUUGGCAUCCCGCCACACGUCGAGUACUCACAGAAUAAUGAAUCUUUGAUUACAUACACAGGGUAAUCUGGCAGAAAAUACAAAUAUCUUCUCCGUGGUUUCCAGAGAUAACUCUUAACAAAAGAAGAAAAUAUCGCAUCACAAUUCUAUUCGAAUUCUGUAUGUUUAUCGAAAACGAAUAUUUCAACAAUAUAAUCGGUUAAAGAAUAAUGAGCGACAAAUCAAUCCACGUCAAUUAAUCAUUAAAUUAAAUACAUAUGUAAUUUACACUAUAAAAUGUAAAUAUGCCACUAAUAUUCUUUGUACAACAGCUACGGAAAUAUUGCGACUCCAAACACUGCAAGCAAAUAUCACCCAUGUUUAUCCAUCCAUACUAUAAACUGUUGACAUUAUUGUCGCUGUUGACACUGUAAUGCUGAAUCAACAGCUAAAUGUUUAUUGAGGAAUUAUCAAAUACAAUCGCAUCAUAUUGUGACUAUUUGUAAUAGUUGAUUACAAUGCGAAAGAGAUUUGUAGUUAAGACACCCAUUGUUGAUUUCUGAAAAUCAAAUGGAGGUACAUAUUUAAUCCAAAAUCUAUAAUUCAUUGACAAAACAGUUAUAUUUUUUCCCGAAUAUCUCUAUUUAAGUAGCAAUAAAUAAUGCAAUAAAUAAUGCAUUGUUAGAAGCAUGUACGAUUCUUUGCGGCAACAAAAGAAGCGAAAUCUUUUUUUUACUGGCAGAACAGAGUUCAUUUAUUCAUCGACUGUCGCAAUAGUAAUUUUCAAAGUCGUCUUAAUAUCCGUAAGAAAUACCAUUUAUAACUGACACAAGCGGUUUUGUUUACAUGGAGCAUACUUCUGACGUGCAAUGCUAUUUAUCUCUUUUUUUCCCUGUAAUUCCUGGCAAAAUAACGUGCUUUUCCUUACCUAUGCAAUUAAGAAUUAUCUUGUAUACGUCAAUUAGAUACUUACAUUAAAUCCAUUCACGUCACAUGCAUCAUGUACAUUACUCUACACUUUUAACUUUUUUAAACUUUUUUGUCGAUUCGCUCCAUUAAAUCUACAAAGUAUAAAAACUAAGGACAGACUUAUCGAUAUAACAUUACUAUAUCGUGAGUGGAUUAAUCUUCAAAAUAGUUUCUCUUAAUUCUAUGAUGCAGUUUCGUAACGAGAGUAUUAGUACCUAAAGUAAAUUUUUUUACAAAACCUAAAAAUAAAUUUAUUUAUUAUUUAUUAUUUAUUUCGGAAAUGGGAAACUGUAAAACUGUUAAUUCCGUAUUUGAGAAGCAGAUAGUUUAGUUCAAAAUUUACCUAAAAAAAGAAAUCGAACACAUUUUUAAAGCAUAAAAGGUUCAAUAUUAUGACAGUGUUUAAAAGACACUUUUUUUUUAAUUAAAAGACUAAAGAGUUCUUCAGUUCAUAAAUCUAUUUGUUAGCAAUUAAAAUAUCGGCAGUUCUUCAAUAAUUAUUCCAAUAAUACUCUUCGCAACGAUAAUAUUGAUAUCUU